CCCUAAACGCGAAAACAAAACAAACACGGAAACACCUCAUCACGCACGCCACCUAUAAAUGAAAGCCUCACCUCCUCAAUUCAAGAUACAACGAAACUCCCCAACCUUUGUUAUUCCCUGUCGUUUCGAUUUUUAGGGUUUUCCUCUCAUUUCCUCUCUUCCGCCGCUUCCUCAUCGCAUCUUUAAGAUUUUGUGAGAUUCGUUCUUGUUGGGUUAAAGGUGUUGAAAGCGUGGUUUGUUGUGGCAUAUUAAUCUGAUUU
Molecule: long non-coding RNA, 260 nt
Organism: Gastrolobium bilobum
Lineage: Eukaryota; Viridiplantae; Streptophyta; Magnoliopsida; Fabales; Fabaceae
Exons: 2
Source: RefSeq, a predicted model, not a curated record